GAAAAGAAACCAACAGGGAUUGCCUCAGUAACGGCGAGUGAAGCGGCAAAAGCUCAAAUUUGAAAUCUAGCACUUUCAGUGUUCGAGUUGUAAUUUGAAGAAGGUAACUUUGGUUUUGGCUCUUGUCUAUGUUCCUUGGAACAGGACGUCACAGAGGGUGAGAAUCCCGUGCGAUGAGAUGCCCAAUUCCAUGUAAAGUGCUUUCGAAGAGUCGAGUUGUUUGGGAAUGCAGCUCUAAGUGGGUGGUAAAUUCCAUCUAAAGCUAAAUAUUGGCGAGAGACCGAUAGCGAACAAGUACAGUGAUGGAAAGAUGAAAAGAACUUUGAAAAGAGAGUGAAAAAGUACGUGAAAUUGUUGAAAGGGAAGGGCUUGAGAUCAGACUUGGUAUUUUGCGUUCCCUUCCUUUUUGGUUGGGUUCCUCGCAGUUUACUGGGCCAGCAUCGGUUUGGAUGGUAGGAUAAUGACAUUGGAAUGUAGCUUUACUUCGGUGAAAGUGUUAUAGACUUUGUUGAUACUGCCUAUCUAGACCGAGGACUGCGUCUUUGACUAGGAUGCUGGCGUAAUGAUCUUAAGCCGCCC
Molecule: ribosomal RNA, 579 nt
Filed under: Dujonia zeylanoides
Lineage: Eukaryota; Fungi; Ascomycota; Pichiomycetes; Serinales; Debaryomycetaceae
Description: [Candida] zeylanoides partial large subunit ribosomal RNA
Rfam family: Eukaryotic large subunit ribosomal RNA
Source: RNAcentral